This is a long non-coding RNA of Ylistrum balloti, 782 nucleotides long. RefSeq lists it as uncharacterized. Lineage: Eukaryota; Metazoa; Mollusca; Bivalvia; Pectinida; Pectinidae. The record is from RefSeq and is a predicted model, not a curated record. The transcript is spliced from 2 exons.
GACGAGCGUGGUGAUCUUCGUUCCUGUAGGUGACAAACUACCGGUUUCAGUGAAUUUCUGGGACAGAUUUGUUCAUUCACGUAAAAAGAUAUAUGGAGUGAAGAGAACAGCAACAUGAAUGUAUUUGGAAAGAUUACCAGGGCGCUAGGAAGCCGUCUUCUCACAGCAACUCCCAGACCUGUUAGAAUACAACAGGCAAUACCACAACCACCUGUGUCUAGUAGACAUCAAGUUGGAGUACAUUGUAAGGGAUUAUUUACUUGUCAGCAAGGCAGUCUGAGUCAUCGUAUCAGUUCCCUUAACCUGAACAGUAGUAACGUUCAUCAUACAUCCAGAGUGACAACACUGCUGACCACAAGCAACACCAACUUACAAUUCACAAGAUCAUACAAAGUGAAAAAUGUGUUGACACUUCGUUGUUCAGGAUGUUAUUUUAUUCGCAGACAUGGACGGUUAUUUGUUGAGUGUAAAGUAAAACCUAGACAUAAGCAAAUGGCCAAAAUUAGUAAGAACAAAUUGAUGGUAGAUGACACUUCAAAAGGAAAUGUGAAGAGAGCAUGCUGGUGGAAGUUCCAAAAAGAAAGAUGGUACAAAAAGGGUCAGACUUCUUACGUCAAGUCGGGCUAUUUCAAUCAAGGCUUGGGUACAGAUUUUUAGAGAGAAAAAAUUGUCGAAUAUGUAUUGACACAGUAUUGUUAUACUGUAAAGGAUGUUUAAUUUCCAUGAUUGAUUAAGACAAAUACUUGUAUAAGUGUGAGUGAAUAAAAGUUUAAGAUAAUUAA